This 272-nucleotide unclassified non-coding RNA is filed under the name Glomus sp. Its description in RNAcentral is "partial contains 5.8S ribosomal RNA and internal transcribed spacer 2". The stretch from base 1 to 65 matches the Rfam family "5.8S ribosomal RNA", at positions 84 to 154 of the family's 154-position model. Lineage: Eukaryota; Fungi; Glomeromycota; Glomeromycetes; Glomerales; Glomeraceae. The record is from RNAcentral.
GUGAAUCAUCAAAUUUUUGAACGCAAAUUGCACUCUCCACGGAGAGUAUGACUGUUUGAGGGUGAGCGUAUAAAAAAUCGACAUCGUUGGUGUUUCGCGGUGACGUUCGUCGGAAAUUGGGUGAUCUUAAAUACUUUUGGUUUUAAGCGACUUAAAAAUUUAUUUUUGGUUCCAUGAAUGGUUCUAAGAUUUAUUUUUUUAUACGUUUAAGGUAUCGAUUUUUAUUAGAUGUGACCAUGAGAUCGGAUCGCGUGCAUAAUUUUUCAGUAAAU